Molecule: long non-coding RNA, 646 nt
Organism: Homo sapiens (human)
Lineage: Eukaryota; Metazoa; Chordata; Mammalia; Primates; Hominidae
Exons: 3
Source: RefSeq, a predicted model, not a curated record
GGAUGUCAUUGGUUGGAUCCACCAUCAUCGAAUCACUCUCCUGGGGAAACAAAUUAUUAAGUGCUUAGAGAUACAGCUUUUUGCAUAAUGACUAGUUAUUUCUGUGUGUCAAGGGGAAUCCUAGCAGAAUAAAAACGGAUGGUUUACAAUGUAAAUCCUGAAAGUUAAGUGGUGUCCUAUGUAAGACCAGAUGACACAAACCUGAUAAUGCAUCUCUUGAAGCGUUUGGGGUGAGCCCCGAGGCCUGGGUGCAGGAGUGGUUUACUGAGUGGCAAUCAUCAGCAAUGCCAUCUGGGGCAUUGGAGAAGACCCAUGCUGAGAGGACCUGCGAGAGAGCCAGUGGGUCUCAUCCAAGGUACAAAGAAACCAUAUAUUUUGCUAUAAUAUUCCAUACCUUCUUACUAGACACAUAGUCACUCUCCACUUUAUAAACAUGUUUUGUUACAAGAAAUGGGUCAUGUCAAUGAAGAUAUUCCAAUUUUAGUUGAGAAAAAUUUUGCUUUGCUGUUUAAAUUUUGGGUUAUUUUGUUUAGGACACUGGGGACUAAUUAGCAAUAUGUUACUUUCACUUCCAAUAGUAAAUUAACUCCAGACAUUACUAGUAACCAAGCCUCUAGUCAUAAGUAAAUUAAUUGGCUUACCUCCU